UACGGAGGAUCCAAGCGUUAUCCGGAUUUAUUGGGUUUAAAGGGUGCGUAGGCGGCCUAUUAAGUCAGGGGUGAAAGACGGUGGCUCAACCAUCGCAGUGCCUUUGAUACUGAUGGGCUUGAAUGAACCUGAGGUAGGCGGAAUGUGACAAGUAGCGGUGAAAUGCAUAGAUAUGUCACAGAACACCAAUUGCGAAGGCAGCUUACUAAAGUUUAAUUGACGCUGAGGCACGAAAGCGUGGGGAUCAAACAGGAUUAGAUACCCCCGUAGUCC
This 273-nucleotide ribosomal RNA is filed under the name uncultured bacterium. Its description in RNAcentral is "partial 16S ribosomal RNA". It matches the Rfam family "Bacterial small subunit ribosomal RNA", at positions 524 to 796 of the family's 1533-position model. The record is from RNAcentral.